RNAcentral lists this ribosomal RNA (253 nucleotides) under uncultured bacterium. Its description in RNAcentral is "partial 16S ribosomal RNA". It matches the Rfam family "Bacterial small subunit ribosomal RNA", at positions 524 to 776 of the family's 1533-position model. The record is from RNAcentral.
UACGGGGGGGGCAAGCGUUGUUCGGAAUUACUGGGCGUAAAGGGCGCGUAGGCGGCCUGCUAAGUCAGACGUGAAAUCCCUCGGCUUAACCGGGGAACUGCGUCUGAUACUGGAUGGCUUGAGUUCGGGAGAGGGAUGCGGAAUUCCAGGUGUAGCGGUGAAAUGCGUAGAUAUCUGGAGGAACACCGGUGGCGAAGGCGGCAUCCUGGACCGACACUGACGCUGAGGAGCGAAAGCCAGGGGAGCAAACGGG